AACACGUGAGCAACCUGCCCCUGACUCUGGGAUAAGCGCUGGAAACGGCGUCUAAUACUGGAUAUGUCCCGUCACCGCAUGGUGUGCGGGUGGAAAGAUUUUUCGGUUGGGGAUGGGCUCGCGGCCUAUCAGCUUGUUGGUGAGGUAAUGGCUCACCAAGGCGUCGACGGGUAGCCGGCCUGAGAGGGUGACCGGCCACACUGGGACUGAGACACGGCCCAGACUCCUACGGGAGGCAGCAGUGGGGAAUAUUGCACAAUGGGCGGAAGCCUGAUGCAGCAACGCCGCGUGAGGGAUGACGGCCUUCGGGUUGUAAACCUCUUUUAGCAGGGAAGAAGCGAAAGUGACGGUACCUGCAGAAAAAGCACCGGCUAACUACGUGCCAGCAGCCGCGGUAAUACGUAGGGUGCAAGCGUUAUCCGGAAUUAUUGGGCGUAAAGAGCUCGUAGGCGGUCUGUCGCGUCUGCUGUGAAAUCCCGAGGCUCAACCUCGGGCUUGCAGUGGGUACGGGCAGACUAGAGUGCGGUAGGGGAGAUUGGAAUUCCUGGUGUAGCGGUGGAAUGCGCAGAUAUCAGGAGGAACACCGAUGGCGAAGGCAGAUCUCUGGGCCGUAACUGACGCUGAGGAGCGAAAGGGUGGGGAGCAAACAGGCUUAGAUACCCUGGUAG
This 668-nucleotide ribosomal RNA is filed under the name Microbacterium sp. A24MG571. Its description in RNAcentral is "bacterial SSU rRNA". It matches the Rfam family "Bacterial small subunit ribosomal RNA", at positions 112 to 793 of the family's 1533-position model. The record is from RNAcentral. Lineage: Bacteria; Bacillati; Actinomycetota; Actinomycetes; Micrococcales; Microbacteriaceae.